GCAUCUCAUAGCUCAGUUAGUAGAGCAUGGGACUCUUAAUCUCAAGGUCAUGGGUUCAAGCCCCAUGUUGGGCA
Molecule: non-coding RNA, 74 nt
Organism: Podarcis lilfordi (Lilford's wall lizard)
Lineage: Eukaryota; Metazoa; Chordata; Lepidosauria; Squamata; Lacertidae
Source: the annotation of a GenBank genome assembly